CCUGGUACUAUGAUGAUCACAAAGCAAUGCAUAGUUCAUCUGAAUCUACUGAUGAAAUCUUAUCCUUCACAAGUCUUUCGCUCCCAUCUGAUCGUACCUGA
RNAcentral lists this small nucleolar RNA (101 nucleotides) under Moelleriella libera RCEF 2490. RNAcentral describes it as "Aschersonia aleyrodis RCEF 2490 Small nucleolar RNA snR60/Z15/Z230/Z193/J17". It matches the Rfam family "Small nucleolar RNA snR60/Z15/Z230/Z193/J17". Rfam says of the family: The members of this family belong to the C/D class of snoRNAs which contain the C (UGAUGA) and D (CUGA) box motifs. Most of the members of the box C/D family function in directing site-specific 2'-O-methylation of substrate RNAs. The family includes the yeast snoRNA snR60 (also known as Z15) and the corresponding human guide snoRNA U80 (SNORD80). Lineage: Eukaryota; Fungi; Ascomycota; Sordariomycetes; Hypocreales; Clavicipitaceae. The record is from Rfam by way of RNAcentral.